UACUUUUAUCCUUUUGCCUUUUGCUCCGUGUUAUAUUUUCAACAAUAGACUUAGUAAGUCCUAUCACUCCAAAAGAAACUGAAGGCCAACACACGAAGCUGCAAAACAUUUAUUAGGAACCCUACAAUGCUACAACCAGGAUAGCAACUUGCCGCCAAACUAAAUUCUGUAAAAACAACUUGUACAAUUAUUCUGCACGCCAAGCUAUAACAGACACCCCAUUCUCUUCAAUCUUCAUAACUAAAAGAGAUAAUGCAUCAAAACUCCCCUAAACUAUCACAUUUUUAUUAGUCUCAUUCUUAAACUACCUAGUUUACGUUAGCUCCUGAAUUAUAACCUUCACGUGCUAAAGCCCCCUAAACUAUCACGGUUUUUAUUAGUUUCAUAUUUAAAACUAUGCCUAGCUUAGUUACCUCCUGAAAUAUAACCUUCACGUGCUAAACCCCCCUAAACUAUCAUAGUUUUUAUUAGUUUCAUACUUAAAUUAUGCCUAGCUUACGUUACCCCCCUGAACUAAUCCCACAGACCCACCUCCAAUAAUAUGGAAUCUAGUUAAUUUCCUCUGGCAAAAAAGACCAAAUAUACCUAAAAAAAAAAAAACGAUUUUACUUCUCUGCCCUAAAUGAUUGGAUAAAGGAAAACACAAUUUGAAGAAUUUGACAAU
Long non-coding RNA from Lycium ferocissimum, 664 nucleotides. RefSeq lists it as uncharacterized. NCBI's taxonomy places the organism in Eukaryota, Viridiplantae, Streptophyta, Magnoliopsida, Solanales, Solanaceae. The record is from RefSeq and is a predicted model, not a curated record. The transcript has 2 exons.